Molecule: ribosomal RNA, 424 nt
Filed under: Listeria monocytogenes
Lineage: Bacteria; Bacillati; Bacillota; Bacilli; Caryophanales; Listeriaceae
Description: partial 23S ribosomal RNA
Rfam family: Bacterial large subunit ribosomal RNA
Source: RNAcentral
AGUAAAUUGGUUAAGUUAGAAAGGGCGCACGGUGGAUGCCUUGGCACUAGGAGCCGAAGAAGGACGGGACUAACACCGAUAUGCUUUGGGGAGCUGUACGUAAGCGUUGAUCCAGAGAUUUCCGAAUGGGGGAACCCACUAUCUUUAGUCGGAUAGUAUCCUUACGUGAAUACAUAGCGUGAGGAAGGCAGACCCAGGGAACUGAAACAUCUAAGUACCUGGAGGAAGAGAAAGAAAAAUCGAUUUCCUGAGUAGCGGCGAGCGAAACGGAAAGAGCCCAAACCAAGAAGCUUGCUUCUUGGGGUUGUAGGACACUCUAUACGGAGUUACAAAAGAAAGUUAUAAAUGAAGCGGUCUGGAAAGGCCCGCCAAAGACGGUAACAGCCCGGUAGUUGAAAUGGCUUUCCCUCCAGAGUGGAUCCUG